CGUCUAAUACCGGAUACGACCUGCCCCGGCAUCGGGUGCGGGUGGAAAGUUUUUCGGUCAAGGAUGGACUCGCGGCCUAUCAGCUAGUUGGUGAGGUAAUGGCUCACCAAGGCGACGACGGGUAGCCGGCCUGAGAGGGUGACCGGCCACACUGGGACUGAGACACGGCCCAGACUCCUACGGGAGGCAGCAGUGGGGAAUAUUGCACAAUGGGCGAAAGCCUGAUGCAGCAACGCCGCGUGGGGGAUGACGGCCUUCGGGUUGUAAACCUCUUUUAGUAGGGAAGAAGGGCUUCGGCUUGACGGUACCUGCAGAAAAAGCACCGGCUAACUACGUGCCAGCAGCCGCGGUAAUACGUAGGGUGCAAGCGUUGUCCGGAAUUAUUGGGCGUAAAGAGCUCGUAGGCGGUUUGUCGCGUCUGCUGUGAAAACCCGAGGCUCAACCUCGGGCCUGCAGUGGGUACGGGCAGACUAGAGUGCGGUAGGGGAGAAUGGAAUUCCUGGUGUAGCGGUGGAAUGCGCAGAUAUCAGGAGGAACACCGAUGGCGAAGGCAGUUCUCUGGGCCGUUACUGACGCUGAGGAGCGAAAGCGUGGGGAGCGAACAGGAUUAGAUACCCUGGUAGUCCACGCCGUAAACGUUGGGAACUAGAUGUGGGGACCUUUCCACGGUCUCCGUGUCGCAGCUAACGCAUUAAGUUCCCCGCCUGGGGAGUACGGCCGCAAGGCUAAAACUCAAAGGAAUUGACGGGGGCCCGCACAAGCGGCGGAGCAUGCGGAUUAAUUCGAUGCAACGCGAAGAACCUUACCAAGGCUUGACAUAUACCGGAAACUUCCAGAAAUGGUUGCCCCGCAAGGUCGGUAUACAGGUGGUGCAUGGUUGUCGUCAGCUCGUGUCGUGAGAUGUUGGGUUAAGUCCCGCAACGAGCGCAACCCUCGUUCUAUGUUGCCAGCACGUCAUGGUGGGAACUCAUAGGAGACUGCCGGGGUCAACUCGGAGGAAGGUGGGGAUGACGUCAAAUCAUCAUGCCCCUUAUGUCUUGGGCUUCACGCAUGCUACAAUGGCCGGUACAAAGGGCUGCGAUACCGUAAGGUGGAGCGAAUCCCAAAAAGCCGGUCUCAGUUCGGAUUGAGGUCUGCAACUCGACCUCAUGAAGUCGGAGUCGCUAGUAAUCGCAGAUCAGCAACGCUGCGGUGAAUACGUUCCCGGGCCUUGUACACACCGCCCGUCAAGUCAUGAAAGUCGGUAACACCCGAAGCCAGUGGCCUAACCGCAAGGAGGGAGCUGUCGAAGGUGGGAUCGGUGAUUAGGACUAAGUCGUAACAAGGUAGCCGUACCGGAAGGUGCGGCUGGAUCACCUCCUUUCUAAGGA
This 1370-nucleotide ribosomal RNA is filed under the name Rathayibacter sp. AY1D4. Its description in RNAcentral is "bacterial SSU rRNA". It matches the Rfam family "Bacterial small subunit ribosomal RNA", at positions 160 to 1533 of the family's 1533-position model. The record is from RNAcentral. Lineage: Bacteria; Bacillati; Actinomycetota; Actinomycetes; Micrococcales; Microbacteriaceae.